Hippopotamus amphibius kiboko is the source of this 5600-nucleotide RNA transcript. It is a transcript of the gene named RIC8 guanine nucleotide exchange factor B, with no coding region annotated. The transcript is spliced from 13 exons. NCBI's taxonomy places the organism in Eukaryota, Metazoa, Chordata, Mammalia, Artiodactyla, Hippopotamidae. The record is from RefSeq and is a predicted model, not a curated record.
GAAGGAAGCUGGGAAGAAGCGAGCGAGCGGGGGCGCGAGGCGUUUACCUGGAGGCAGCGGCUUGGGCGCGCAGAGCGGCCGCCGCACCCCCGCACCUGCGGCCAUGGAUGAGGAGCGCGCCCUCUACAUCGUCCGGGCCGGCGAGGCGGGGGCUAUCGAGCGGGUCCUGAGGGAUUACAGCGAUAAGCAUAGGGCUACUUUCAAAUUUGAGUCAACAGAUGAAGAUAAAAGAAAGAAACUCUGUGAAGGCAUAUUUAAAGUCCUUUUAAAGGACAUCCCAACAACAUGUCAAGUGUCCUGCCUGGAAGUUCUCCGCAUUCUCUCCAGAGACAAAAAGGUUUUAGUUCCUGUAACAACCAAGGAAAAUAUGCAGAUACUGCUGCGACUAGCCAAGCUAAAUGAGUUGGAUGAUUCUUUGGAGAAGGUGUCAGAGUUCCCAGUUAUUGUGGAGUCAUUAAAAUGUCUUUGUAAUAUAGUGUUCAACAGUCAGAUGGCACAGCAGCUCAGCCUGGAACUUAACCUUGCUGCAAAGCUCUGUAACCUCCUGAGAAAGUGCAAGGACCGAAAGUUUAUCAAUGACAUUAAGUGCUUUGAUUUGCGUUUGCUCUUCGUCCUGUCACUUUUGCACACCGACAUCAGGUCACAAUUGCGCUAUGAGCUCCAAGGACUACCACUGCUAACCCAGAUCUUGGAAAGUGCCUUUAGCAUCAAGUGGACCGAUGAAUAUGAAUCGGCCAUAGACCGUAAUGGACCUCCUCUCUCACCUCAGGAGACAGACUGUGCCAUUGAGGCCCUCAAAGCUCUCUUCAAUGUGACAGUAGACAGUUGGAAGGUGCAUAAAGAGAGUGAUUCUCAUCAGUUUCGUGUCAUGGCAGCUGUCCUUCGCCAUUGUUUACUAAUCGUAGGUCCAACUGAAGACAAAACAGAAGAGCUACACAGCAAUGCAGUCAACCUUUUAAGCAAUGUUCCGGUGUCUUGUUUGGAUGUUCUCAUUUGUCCAUUAACCCAUGAAGAAACAGCCCAAGAAGCAACGACACUAGAUGAACUGCCCAGUGAUAAAACAGCUGAGAAAGAAACAGUUUUGAAAAAUAAUACCAUGGUAUACAAUGGUAUGAAUAUGGAGGCCAUUCACGUUUUACUCAGUUUUAUGGAGAAGAGAAUAGACAAGGGAAGCAGCUAUAGAGAGGGUCUAACUCCAGUUCUCAGCUUAUUAACAGAAUGUUCCCGAGCCCACCGAAACAUCAGAAAAUUUCUCAAAGAUCAGGUUUUACCACCAUUGAGGGAUGUGACAAAUCGACCUGAAGUUGGUUCAACUGUGAGAAAUAAGCUGGUGCGCCUCAUGACACAUGUUGACCUGGGAGUCAAGCAAAUUGCUGCUGAAUUCCUUUUUGUCCUUUGCAAAGAGAGAGUGGACAGCCUGCUGAAAUACACUGGCUAUGGGAAUGCUGCAGGACUGCUGGCCGCCAGGGGCCUCCUGGCAGGAGGAAGAGGAGAUAAUUGGUAUUCAGAGGAUGAGGACACAGACACUGAAGAAUACAAAAAUGCAAAACCAAACAUUAAUCUUAUCACUGGUCAUUUAGAGGAACCAAUGCCAAACCCCAUAGAUGAAAUGACAGAAGAACAAAAAGAAUAUGAAGCCAUGAAACUUGUCAACAUGCUUGAUAAACUUUCCAGGAGAGCAGAUGUGAAGGACCUGCACCAGGAUGGUGGUUAGCAACAGUGGCCCGUGCCAAAGCACUUACCAAAGUGAUGACUAAGACCCUGUCAUUAAUUCCAUGUGUCAAUACUGCCCUGUAGUACACAGAGCAGACAAGAAAGAAGAGCCCUUGAAAACAAGGGAAUGAUUUUUGAGUCGUUAUCAAGCUAAGUGGCAAGCGGGAAGCUGAAACUCGUGUAGUUGAACAUUCUUGGAGGCUUAUCUCUUCCCUGGCCAGAUGCCUGAUCAGAUGAGAAGCCCGCCAUGAUACUGUCACAGUGCCUAGAAUGGGCUCUUUAUCCAGUAGACAUCACUGUACUUUUUGAUGAUAACGAGGGCAGUCUUAACUUGUGUUAAGGCCUGUGUGUAGCAUUGAAGAGAGGAGUUGCUUAAACCAAUGGGACUAAAACCUGAUGGGACAAUAACGCCUUUGGAGGAAGCACUCAACCAGUACUCUGUCAUCGAGGAGACCAGCUCUGACACAGACUAAAAGCAUCACCUGCUCAACUCUCAAUAUUGCUUUUAUCAGCAUCUUUUCUCUGUAGCUCCAGGGGAAUCUUUUCUCUAAAACAUUUAUGCCCUUGCUUUGGCUAGAAACACAUUAACUGGUUUACUCAUUGAGAAUCCAGCAUAUUUAAGAAGUGAUCUUGUGUUUUUGCGAUAUUGAGGCAUUCAUACAGAGCUGCAGUUAGACGGAGUUGCAGGGACUAGGACCAGAAAAAAAAAAUUCCAUUCUGUCAAGAUGGAACUGAAGGACUUCGCUCUAUACAGCAGCCCUGGUUGAAUCUGGCAGUUCUGUUUGCCAAGAUUCUUAACAGAAGAUUUAGCCGUGUCCUUCCUCUCACUUGUGUGAGCUGCCCUUUCUGAAGCUCUCCAGAGACAGAGGCACGUGAAAAGCAGAACAAGCUGCUAAAAAGGGGCUGAGGCAAGUGACUUGUUAGAUCAGGACUGAGUGAAUGGAAGCCAAGCAGCUGCUCCAUAAACCUGGCCCCACUCUUCACUCCAUUUCAAUUUUGUAUAAAUCUGUAGAAAUGCGCACACACGCGCACACACACAGCCCCAGACUUGCAAACUGAUUACAUUCAAAGAGUUUGUAUGUCAGUUAUCUAGAACUUCAGAAUACAUUUCUCCCUAUAAAGUUAUAAAUGAUGGUUUAGUUCUGAGGCAGCUACGAAUGCCUAUUUAUUCCCUAAUAACCUGAACACUAGUACCAUAGAACUAAACCCCCAUCUGUAUCACUGCAUGGGGAGCAUGCAUUCUGAGGUCUAACGUAGGGGUGCCAGGAAAAUAUACCCUCCAGCCUGGGGUACCAAGGGAAUGGAGACCCCCUGGGUACUGGGAGUUCUUUUGUGGCCUCUGCUGAGGAGGGGGGAGUCAGCAGCACCCAUUUGUACAUAUAGGUCAUACAUGUGUCACAUGUUUUAAACUGGGGACUGUGUGUGCUUGUGUGUGUAUUCUGCCUUUCUACCAUAUGUGAUCAGUUUAAUGGUAACUUUAUUUAUUUAAAAAAGAAACACAGAUAGUUACUGUUAAACUGAUUAAGGCUGUUUAUUUUUACUUUUAGAAUUGGUCAUAUGAAGAAGUAGCAAAUGAAUCAUGCAAUAGACAGUGGGCCUAGUUAAUCAAUGGCUAAAGUUGAAAAGGGGUUGGUUUCCUUUUAUAUAUAUAUGUAUGUAUGUAUGUAUGUACAUACAUAUAUAUAUACACACAUAAUGUGCUUAACCACUGCCUUUUAAAACUUUAAAUUAAAUAAAACGGGGUUGAUUCAAUUUAGCCAUCUGUGUGUGUUUCUUUAUAGAUACAUGGGGUAAACAAUACUAUUUCACAGUUUAUGCUUUUUUAAACUGCUUUUACAUCUAUUAUCUCACUUAUAAUAAAUAGCCUUUCUAAGGAUAAAGUACAUGAAGUGUUAGUGAAAAUGUCGUUUAUCCAGAAGUCACUUCUCUGACAAAAGUACAAAUCAGGAAUUCAGUUUUAAAAGGCUUUUGAGCUACCAAAAGAGAUGUCAAAGUUUCUUACAGUUCAUUUAUAGGAGAAAUCCUCAAGAAUCUCACCUUUUGCCUCUUUUCUAAAAUUUGCAUAUAUUUCUAACAUGUUUAGCUAUCUGACUUUCAAGCCCACAAAAAAAAAAAAAAUGGCAAAGGAGGAGGCUGUUAGAUAGAAGGCAGACCUACUGAAAGCAGCAAAAAGCCAAGUGAAAACCAGAUAGGAAUGUGGGGAGAAUGAAAACUACGCGAGGCAUCAUAAGUCUGGGACCAUCUGUUUCCCAAAGGACAUUCUAGUUGACCCAGAAAGUAUCUGUACAACAGUAUGGCCUAUAAACUGAUUCUCAUGAUGACCUUGUAUUUCUUUAAAAAAAAAAAAGUUAAAUCCAGAAUACUCUAUAAAAAGAAUACAUUUUAGGAUUUCCAUCCAAAAUAGUUGGAGUAGAAGUUAUGGGUAACCCAUGUUUUAACAGUAAAUAAAAUGAAACUUCGUGAUUCAUAAUUUUAGAUUAAGUGAAAAAAAGUUUAGAAAAAAGAAUUUUAAGUAUUUUUGUUACUUCAUUCUACAAAUGCAUUUUUAAAGUAUUUUUAUAAUUUCUGCAAUCAAAUAGUUUUGGCAUGAGUGUCGGCUUACCUAAAUGAAGACAUGUUUAAUGAAAUAACGUCUUGCCAGCUUUAUGCAGAGUGUUUGAACAGUCCUGUUUAAGUAGCUGUGCUCUUCUGCUUUCAGUGAGUUCUGUUUCAUUUUGAGUUUCCCCAUGCUGGGCACUAAGCUUUGUUUUGAAGAGAAUUUGCAGAGGGAGAAGAUGAAAGUGACCUCAUCUUGCACAUGGAAAGAGAACCAACAUCUGUUGAUUGCUUGCUCUGUGCUGGGCUUUUUAUGUACCUUAUCUUGUGUAACCUCAUCACAUCUCAUAUUAGAGAUCAUCUCUGGAAAGCAAGUAAGUUACCCAACAUCACACAGCAAGUAAGAAUCCAGCUCUGGCCGGCCUGACCCCCAGCACCUCUCCUUCCCUUCACACUGCCUGCCUGGGUCCAUAUUGUGCCCCCUUAUGACUCUGGAAUGCUGGGGUGUGGUAAUUCUCAGGCCAUUUAAAGCAAUAACUAUUUCAGCAGAACUGGUUUAAAGAACUUAUUAAGCAGGGAGGUGACCUGAAUGAAGUUGAAAUGUGAGUAGGAAACUUGCUCAGUUAGUUAGUACUGGAUUUCAAAUAAGGACCUGGAAUCCUUUAGGUUAGAGAUUAGGGCUGCAGGCUCCCCCGCCCCCCACCCUGACCCUUGACAUCUGCCAGGGCCAGUAGCCUGCAGCAGGGAUGGCGAGAAUACACUGGCCAAUUGCACUCUGCAGGACCCUGUGUCCACAUCCCUCCUGACCUUUAAAACAGGGUAUGGGGGAGUAAGUUCUAAAACAAGGCACUUGAGCUGCUGCUUUAGAGUAACAAUCAACAGACACUUGAGGCCCUUUCACACACCUGAUGGUCCUGGGAGGUGGACAGGAUGGAUAUUAUUGUCCCUCCUUUAUAAAUGAAGACAUAGGCAGAGGUGGUACAAAUACUCAACAUCCCUUUACUACCAUUAGUGUUGCCACCUCCCAGCACUAGGUGUCUCUUAUGUUGACUUUCCUUCUCCCCCUCCCCAUUAUAAAAGUAAUAUAUGUUCGUUGUGGAAAGUUUGGAGAAUAUAUAAAAUAAAGUUAAUAAUUCACCCCAAAACCCACCACCUGAGAUAAUCUCUGUUAAUGUUUUGGUGUAUUUCCAUCCUGUGUUUUUUCUAUGCAUAUAUAAUUUAUUUUACUACAAGAUUGGGAUCAUGCUGUAUUUACAGAUUUGUAUCCUGCCUUCUUUAACAUAUUGUAAGCAUUUUCCCAUGUCAAUAAAUAUUCUUCAAAAAUUAAUGGCUAUAUGAUAUUCCAUUAUAUG